UGACCCGUAGCUCAAUGGUAGAGCAGUCGGCUGUUAACCGACGGGUUCCCGGUUCGAGUCCGGGCGGGUCAGCCA
RNAcentral lists this transfer RNA (75 nucleotides) under Caldibacillus debilis GB1. Its description in RNAcentral is "tRNA-Asn". It matches the Rfam family "tRNA". Rfam says of the family: Transfer RNA (tRNA) molecules are approximately 80 nucleotides in length. Their secondary structure includes four short double-helical elements and three loops (D, anti-codon, and T loops). Lineage: Bacteria; Bacillati; Bacillota; Bacilli; Caryophanales; Bacillaceae. The record is from RNAcentral.